CGCGUAGGUGGUUGAGUCAGUCAGAUGUGAAAGCCCCGGGCUUAACCUGGGAACUGCACCUGAUACUGCUUGACUAGAGUACGGUAGAGGGCAGUGGAAUUUCCUGUGUAGCGGUGAAAUGCGUAGAUAUCUGGAAGAACACCAGUAGCGAAGGCGACUUUCUGGUCUGAUACUGACGCUAAAGCGCGAAGGCUAGGGUAGCAAACA
Molecule: ribosomal RNA, 207 nt
Filed under: uncultured bacterium
Lineage: Bacteria
Description: partial 16S ribosomal RNA
Rfam family: Bacterial small subunit ribosomal RNA
Source: RNAcentral